GUGGUUGGCUCAGUGGUUAAGAGCACUGACUGCUCUCUUCCAGAGGUCCUGAGUUCAAUUCCCAGCAACCACA
RNAcentral lists this transfer RNA (73 nucleotides) under Rattus norvegicus (Norway rat). It matches the Rfam family "tRNA". From Rfam's summary of the family: Transfer RNA (tRNA) molecules are approximately 80 nucleotides in length. Their secondary structure includes four short double-helical elements and three loops (D, anti-codon, and T loops). Lineage: Eukaryota; Metazoa; Chordata; Mammalia; Rodentia; Muridae. The record is from Rfam by way of RNAcentral.